This 450-nucleotide ribosomal RNA is filed under the name uncultured bacterium. Its description in RNAcentral is "bacterial SSU rRNA". It matches the Rfam family "Bacterial small subunit ribosomal RNA", at positions 354 to 796 of the family's 1533-position model. The record is from RNAcentral.
GUGGGGAAUAUUGGACAAUGGGCGAAAGCCUGAUCCAGCCAUGCCGCGUGUGUGAAGAAGGUCUUCGGAUUGUAAAGCACUUUAAGUUGGGAGGAAGGGCAUUAACCUAAUACGUUAGUGUUUUGACGUUACCAACAGAAUAAGCACCGGCUAACUUCGUGCCAGCAGCCGCGGUAAUACGAAGGGUGCAAGCGUUAAUCGGAAUUACUGGGCGUAAAGCGCGCGUAGGUGGUUCAGCAAGUUGAAGGUGAAAUCCCCGGGCUCAACCUGGGAACUGCCUCCAAAACUACUGAGCUAGAGUACGGUAGAGGGUAGUGGAAUUUCCUGUGUAGCGGUGAAAUGCGUAGAUAUAGGAAGGAACACCAGUGGCGAAGGCGACUACCUGGACUGGUAUUGACGCUGAGGUGCGAAAGCGUGGGGAGCAAACAGGAUUAGAAACCCCAGUAGUCC